RNAcentral lists this transfer RNA (49 nucleotides) under Avicennia officinalis. Its description in RNAcentral is "partial tRNA-Phe". Lineage: Eukaryota; Viridiplantae; Streptophyta; Magnoliopsida; Lamiales; Acanthaceae. The record is from RNAcentral.
UUUUGAACUGUGACACGAGGAUUUUCAGUCCUCUGCUCUACCCGCUGAG